UAUUCUGCUCUCGGUCUCCUCCUCGCCUCUCUUAUCCAUCUUCUUCACCACUCAAGCGAAACUGAAAAAAAGAAAACUCAGAAGAAAUCAAUUAAAUCAUUUCUCUGAAACCCAACCCCUUUCCCCGUCUUCAGUAAACCUUAGAUGUUAAAAUCCCUCAACUCAUUGGUCAAGUUAUAAAUCUCAAAUCUGCUGGGAACAGAUUCAAUCGAAGUUUUUUUUGUUUUCAUUCUAGGGUUUCUCUAACUAUAUCUAAAUAAAAUCUUAUGAAUGAUUACUGCUACAGCUUUUGCUUUUCUAGGGUUUGAGAAUCUGGAGCCGUUCUUUGAAGAUUUAGAUUGAUUGGAGUCUAGUCUUCAAUUCAAUUGAAGAUGAAUAUUUUGAUUUAAAUUAAUUGAAAAUCCUCAGAGGGAUUAUAUUGAAUUCUACCAGUGGAUAUCAAUUUAUAUGUAGAGCUUUUGGUGGGUUUUAUCUUAGUUACAGAGGCUGUAAGGUAAUUGAAAGAAAAUCUGAGUUGGUUAGGAUAGGAGAUCAUGUUUGAACUAUUGGAUGAAGAAGCAUAUGACAUGGAUGAUGUUGUUGGAUGUUUUGAAUAUUAUGCAGAACUUGUUGGAGGCCUAGAUGCAAAACACAAGGUUCCUGUCAACAUUCCAAUGGAGAAAUUUAAGAACCAUGUUCGUUGGGAACCCAUUGGAAUCGAUAAGAAGCUAGUAUAAGAUUUCAAUUUGACUUUCUGUUAUAAUUUUGGUACUUCAAGAAGAUGUAGUUUUGUGGAUGCUGAUUAAGUUUGUUGUUUACUUUUUCCUUGUAUAGGUCAUGAAGGAAAGGUUAUAACUGUUGAAUUGAGCCUGAUGGUAGACAACUUGCUAGUGGUUCUAGUGAUAUGAUGGUGUGUUUAUGGAUAUUACUAUUCAAACCCCCAAAAUGCACUUAUCCUGACUCGGUGUCUCUGAAAUCCGAAGAAAAGGUUGGGGCAAUAUUCUUAUGGAAUGUUAACUGAACAAACCUAAGUGAAGUUAUCUAGUACGGUGGGGGCAUGAGUACAGCUAAAUCCGCUCUAGAGAGUGACACUGUAGUGUGUAGCUUUCUAGGAAAGAGGGUUAAAGAAGCAUUUGAAGAGGCUCAAUGCGCUUAAGCAUUGGAUGAUUGUCAAGCUUGGUGGUACCUUUGCUCCAUUCAGUGUGUCAAGAUACGAGUGAUACAAACACCACUAUUUGUCUCUGGCAUAAGCAUAUUUCUGCAAGUUUUGUUUGGGACCAGGUUACCGGCAGUCAUUGGUGGUUCUUCUGCUGAUACUGUACCUAUCCUUUGCAUUAUUAGAGACUCAUCUCUACAACGAAUCACUGAACCUCAUGAAAGAUUUUUACACAGUAUGAUGGAAACUCAAGGAGUCCUGAUUGUAGCUGCAAGCUUGCAGAUCAUACUGGGGUUUAGUCUCGUUGUACACAUUUAAUUCGUAUCUAAAGAUUGUGUUGGCAUAUAAUAUAAUUGUAUCUUACUUAGUUCUUCGUGAUUGAAUCACAGGUUUUUGUUAGAAUGUACUAGCUAUCUUGGACAUGAUUCUCUGAACUCAGUAUUUCAUCCUUUUUUGUGUAAUUUUACACUCAAUGGUUAAAAUGAAUGAAUGUUAAAAUUCUCAGUUUGAUUAUAAAUUUCAGUUAAAUUUGAA
This is a long non-coding RNA of Papaver somniferum (opium poppy), 1669 nucleotides long. RefSeq lists it as uncharacterized. The transcript is spliced from 9 exons. The record is from RefSeq and is a predicted model, not a curated record. NCBI's taxonomy places the organism in Eukaryota, Viridiplantae, Streptophyta, Magnoliopsida, Ranunculales, Papaveraceae.